AGGGCGAACGCUGGCGGCAGGCUUAACACAUGCAAGUCGAGCGGGCGUAGCAAUACGUCAGCGGCAGACGGGUGAGUAACGCGUGGGAACGUACCUUUUGGUUCGGAACAACACAGGGAAACUUGUGCUAAUACCGGAUAAGCCCUUACGGGGAAAGAUUUAUCGCCAAAAGAUCGGCCCGCGUCUGAUUAGCUAGUUGGUGAGGUAACGGCUCACCAAGGCGACGAUCAGUAGCUGGUCUGAGAGGAUGAUCAGCCACAUUGGGACUGAGACACGGCCCAAACUCCUACGGGAGGCAGCAGUGGGGAAUAUUGGACAAUGGGCGCAAGCCUGAUCCAGCCAUGCCGCGUGAGUGAUGAAGGCCCUAGGGUUGUAAAGCUCUUUGUGCGGGAAGAUAAUGACGGUACCGCAAGAAUAAGCCCGGCUAACUUCGCGCCAGCAGCCGC
This 446-nucleotide ribosomal RNA is filed under the name uncultured bacterium. RNAcentral's name for it is "SSU rRNA". It matches the Rfam family "Bacterial small subunit ribosomal RNA", at positions 26 to 518 of the family's 1533-position model. The record is from RNAcentral.